CACGGGUGAGUAACACGUAUCCAACCUGCCGUCUACUCUUGGCCAGCCUUCUGAAAGGAAGAUUAAUCCAGGAUGGCAUCAUGAGUUCACAUGUCCGCAUGAUUAAAGGUAUUUUCCGGUAGACGAUGGGGAUGCGUUCCAUUAGAUAGUAGGCGGGGUAACGGCCCACCUAGUCAACGAUGGAUAGGGGUUCUGAGAGGAAGGCCCCCCACAUUGGAACUGAGACACGGUCCAA
RNAcentral lists this ribosomal RNA (235 nucleotides) under uncultured bacterium. Its description in RNAcentral is "partial 16S ribosomal RNA". It matches the Rfam family "Bacterial small subunit ribosomal RNA", at positions 102 to 334 of the family's 1533-position model. The record is from RNAcentral.